UACAGGGGGUGCAAACGUUGCUCGGAAUUAUUGGGCGUAAAGCGCGCGUAGGCGGCUACUUAUGUCGGAUGUGAAAGCCCCUGGCUCAACUGGGGAAGUGCACCCGAAACUGAGUAGCUGGAGUACGAAAGAGGGUCGCGGAAUUCCCGGUGUAGAGGUGAAAUUCGUAGAUAUCGGGAGGAACACCGGUGGCGAAGGCGGCGACCUGGGUCGAUACUGACGCUGAUGCGCGAAAGCGUGGGGAGCAAACAGG
RNAcentral lists this ribosomal RNA (253 nucleotides) under uncultured bacterium. Its description in RNAcentral is "partial 16S ribosomal RNA". It matches the Rfam family "Bacterial small subunit ribosomal RNA", at positions 524 to 776 of the family's 1533-position model. The record is from RNAcentral.